Molecule: ribosomal RNA, 427 nt
Filed under: uncultured prokaryote
Description: bacterial SSU rRNA
Rfam family: Bacterial small subunit ribosomal RNA
Source: RNAcentral
CUAAGAAUAUUCCGCAAUGGACGAAAGUCUGACGGAGCGACGCCGCGUGGAUGAAGAAGGCCGCAAGGUUGUAAAAUCCUUUUGCUGGGGAAGAAUAAGCGCAGGAGGGAAUGCCUGCGUGAUGACAUGAACCGGCGAAUAAGCCCCGGCCAACUACGUGCCAGCAGCCGCGGUAACACGUAGGGGGCAAGCGUUGUUCGGAAUUACUGGGCGUAAAGGGCAUGUAGGCGGUUCAAUAAGUUGGAUGUGAAAGCUCCCGGCUAAACUGGGAGAGGACGUUCAAGACUGUUGGGCUAGAGGAUGAGAGAGGGAAGUGGAAUUCCGAGUGUAGUGGUGAAAUGCGUAGAUAUUCGGAGGAACACCAGUGGCGAAAGCGGCUUCCUGGCUCAUAACUGACGCUCAGACGCGAAAGCUAGGGUAGCAAACG